AACGAACGCUGGCGGCAGGCUUAACACAUGCAAGUCGAGCGCAUCCUUCGGGGUGAGCGGCAGACGGGUGAGUAACGCGUGGGAAUCUACCUUUUGCUACGGAAUAGCUCCGGGAAACUGGAAUUAAUACCGUAUGUGCCCUUAGGGGGAAAGAUUUAUCGGCAAGAGAUGAGCCCGCGUUGGAUUAGCUAGUUGGUGGGGUAAAGGCCUACCAAGGCGACGAACCAUAGCUGGUCUGAGAGGAUGAUCAGCCACAUUGGGACUGAGACACGGCCCAAACUCCUACGGGAGGCAGCAGUGGGGAAUAUUGGACAAUGGGCGCAAGCCUGAUCCAGCCAUGCCGCGUGAGUGAUGAAGGCCUUAGGGUUGUAAAGCUCUUUCACCGGAGAAGAUAAUGACGGUAUCCGGAGAAGAAGCCCCGGCUAACUUCGUG
RNAcentral lists this ribosomal RNA (433 nucleotides) under uncultured bacterium. Its description in RNAcentral is "partial 16S ribosomal RNA". It matches the Rfam family "Bacterial small subunit ribosomal RNA", at positions 29 to 507 of the family's 1533-position model. The record is from RNAcentral.